Molecule: long non-coding RNA, 525 nt
Organism: Hyaena hyaena (striped hyena)
Lineage: Eukaryota; Metazoa; Chordata; Mammalia; Carnivora; Hyaenidae
Exons: 2
Source: RefSeq, a predicted model, not a curated record
AUGCCUUCCCUAGUCAAGGAUAAUAAAUGCUUAAGAUAUGAGUAUAACUUUUCUGUUGUAUAGCUAUGCAAGAGCAAGCUAUUCCCUUAUUAGAGUUUAUUUUGUUUAAAAGUUGGAUUUGCUUAUGCUCUUUGUGAACAUAAACCUAGUCUGAGAAUUUCUUAAAAUCUUCUCCCCUCUACCCUAGUUUUUCCUCUAGAAAAGUGGUUUGGCUUUUCUAACUUCCUUUAUAGUUCCUACUUUCUGGAUGUAGUAUCGCUGCUUAGUUGUGCAUUUAUUUAACAAAUAACAUUGGAGAGAUAAAGCCACACUCUGAAUAAGAUUAAGUCUUCAUGCAGCUUACAUUCUGGUGGAGGAUACAGGUGGUGUUUGGGCUGAGCCCAAAGGAUAGAGAAGAGUCAGCCUAGCAGAAGAACUGAAUGAAGAACUUUCAGGCUGAGAGAAUCGAUCAGUGCAAGCCCCUGAAACAGAAAAGAAGUCCCUCUGUGUGUUUCUCUAUAAACCUAUAAAAAAGGCUUUGAUGGA